GUUGGAAACGACUGCUAAUACCGCAUAAGCCCACGGCUCGGCAUCGAGCAGAGGGAAAAGGAGCAAUCCGCUUUGAGAUGGCCUCGCGUCCGAUUAGCUAGUUGGUGAGGUAAUGGCCCACCAAGGCAACGAUCGGUAGCCGGACUGAGAGGUUGAACGGCCACAUUGGGACUGAGACACGGCCCAGACUCCUACGGGAGGCAGCAGUGGGGAAUAUUGCACAAUGGGGGAAACCCUGAUGCAGCGACGCCGCGUGGAGGAAGAAGGUCUUCGGAUUGUAAACUCCUGUUGUUGGGGAAGAUAAUGACGGUACCCAACAAGGAAGUGACGGCUAACUACGUGCCAGCAGCCGCGGUAAAACGUAGGUCACAAGCGUUGUCCGGAAUUACUGGGUGUAAAGGGAGCGCAGGCGGGAAGACAAGUUGGAAGUGAAAUCUAUGGGCUCAACCCAUAAACUGCUUUCAAAACUGUUUUUCUUGAGUAGUGCAGAGGUAGGCGGAAUUCCCGGUGUAGCGGUGGAA
RNAcentral lists this ribosomal RNA (521 nucleotides) under uncultured bacterium. RNAcentral's name for it is "bacterial SSU rRNA". It matches the Rfam family "Bacterial small subunit ribosomal RNA", at positions 149 to 686 of the family's 1533-position model. The record is from RNAcentral.